This 500-nucleotide ribosomal RNA is filed under the name uncultured bacterium. Its description in RNAcentral is "partial 16S ribosomal RNA". It matches the Rfam family "Bacterial small subunit ribosomal RNA", at positions 30 to 523 of the family's 1533-position model. The record is from RNAcentral.
AUUGAACGCUGGCGGAAUGCUUUACACAUGCAAGUCGAACGGCAGCACGGGGGCAACCCUGGUGGCGAGUGGCGAACGGGUGAGUAAUACAUCGGAACGUGCCCAGUCGUGGGGGAUAACGUAGCGAAAGUUACGCUAAUAACGCAUACGAUCUACGGAAGAAAGCGGGGGACCGUAAGGCCUCGCGCGGUUGGAGCGGCCGAUGUCAGAUUAGGUAGUUGGUGAGGUAAAGGCUCACCAAGCCGACGAUCUGUAGCUGGUCUGAGAGGACGACCAGCCACACUGGGACUGAGACACGGCCCAGACUCCUACGGGAGGCAGCAGUGGGGAAUUUUGGACAAUGGGCGCAAGCCUGAUCCAGCCAUUCCGCGUGCAGGACGAAGGCCUUCGGGUUGUAAACUGCUUUUGUACGGAACGAAAAGGCUCUGGUUAAUACCUGGGGCUCAUGACGGUACCGUAAGAAUAAGCACCGGCUAACUACGUGCCAGCCGCCGCAGUAA